AUGAACGCUGGCGGCGUGCCUAACACAUGCAAGUCGAGCGGCAGCGAGGGGUGCUUGCACCCUGUCGGCGAGCGGCGGACGGCUGAGUAACGCGUGGGAACGUGCCCCAAAGUGAGGAAUAACUGCCCGAAAGGGUAGCUAAUACCGCAUAUUAUCUUCGGAUCAAAGGAUUUAUCCGCUUUGGGAGCGGCUCGCGUCGGAUUAGGUAGUUGGUGAGGUAAUGGCUCCCCAAGCCGACGAUCCGUAGCUGGUCUGAGAGGAUGACCAGCCAGACUGGAACUGAGACACGGUCCAGACUCCUACGGGAGGCAGCAGUGAGGAAUCUUCCACAAUGGGCGAAAGCCUGAUGGAGCAACGCCGCGUGCAGGACGAAGGCCUUCGGGUUGUAAACUGCUUUUAUAAGUGAGGAAUAUGACGGUAACUUAUGAAUAAGGAUCGGCUAACUACGUG
Molecule: ribosomal RNA, 450 nt
Filed under: uncultured bacterium
Lineage: Bacteria
Description: partial 16S ribosomal RNA
Rfam family: Bacterial small subunit ribosomal RNA
Source: RNAcentral